This is an unclassified non-coding RNA of Erinaceus europaeus (western European hedgehog), 293 nucleotides long. Its record names the gene 7SK. It matches the Rfam family "7SK RNA". From Rfam's summary of the family: 7SK was discovered as an abundant small nuclear RNA in the mid-70s but a possible function has only recently been suggested. Two independent studies have found that 7SK RNA binds the CDK9/cyclin T complex (known as elongation factor P-TEFb). The record is from Ensembl. NCBI's taxonomy places the organism in Eukaryota, Metazoa, Chordata, Mammalia, Eulipotyphla, Erinaceidae.
AGAUGUGAGGGUGAUCUGGCUGUAACUUCUGUCACCCCACAGAUCACCAGGGUUGAUUCAGCUGAUCUGGCUGGCUAGGCUGGUGUACCCUUUCUCCCUCACUGCUCCAUGUGUGUCCCUCCCAAAGCUGUGCUAGGUUGAAGAGGACUGCCUUCCCUGAAUGGAGACUGACUGGGUCUUUGGACAAGGGAAUACAGAGUAGCUGCACUCCCCUGCUAGAACCUCCAAACAAGCUCUCAAAGGCACAUAUAAUUCUCUCAAACUCCAUCAGAAAGAUAAAUAUGGGAUAAUCU